CACGUAGGGUGCGAGCGUUGUCCGGAAUUAUUGGGCGUAAAGAGCUCGUAGGCGGCGUGUCGCGUCGGCCGUGAAAACCUGCAGCUUAACUGUGGGCUUGCGGUCGAUACGGGCAUCACUGGAGUUCGGCAGGGGAGACUGGAAUUCCUGGUGUAGCGGUGAAAUGCGCAGAUAUCAGGAGGAACACCGGUGGCGAAGGCGGGUCUCUGGGCCGAUACUGACGCUGAGACGCGAAAGCGUGGGGAGCAAACAGG
This 254-nucleotide ribosomal RNA is filed under the name uncultured bacterium. RNAcentral's name for it is "partial 16S ribosomal RNA". It matches the Rfam family "Bacterial small subunit ribosomal RNA", at positions 524 to 776 of the family's 1533-position model. The record is from RNAcentral.